RNAcentral lists this transfer RNA (71 nucleotides) under Stegodyphus mimosarum. It matches the Rfam family "tRNA". From Rfam's summary of the family: Transfer RNA (tRNA) molecules are approximately 80 nucleotides in length. Their secondary structure includes four short double-helical elements and three loops (D, anti-codon, and T loops). Further hydrogen bonds mediate the characteristic L-shaped molecular structure. tRNAs have two regions of fundamental functional importance: the anti-codon, which is responsible for specific mRNA codon recognition, and the 3' end, to which the tRNAs corresponding amino acid is attached (by aminoacyl-tRNA synthetases). tRNAs cope with the degeneracy of the genetic code in two manners: having more than one tRNA (with a specific anti-codon) for a particular amino acid; and 'wobble' base-pairing, i.e. permitting non-standard base-pairing at the 3rd anti-codon position. Lineage: Eukaryota; Metazoa; Arthropoda; Arachnida; Araneae; Eresidae. The record is from Rfam by way of RNAcentral.
ACCUUCGUGGUGUAAUGGUAACACACACAUCGUUUAUUUGAGAAGUCCAGGUUCGAGUCCCGGUGAGGGCA